RNAcentral lists this long non-coding RNA (1104 nucleotides) under Cyanistes caeruleus (blue tit). RNAcentral describes it as "lncRNA (ENSCCEG00000017385.1)". The record is from RNAcentral. Lineage: Eukaryota; Metazoa; Chordata; Aves; Passeriformes; Paridae.
AAUAUGUUACCAAAGAGGCAUUGCCACCACUUGUAGCUGGCCCAGCCUUGGCCAGCAGCACAUCCAACUUUGGAGCUGCAGAGAAUUGGCUCUGCCAGACAUGAAGGAAGCUUCUGGCAGCUUCUCACAGAAACCACUGCUGUAGCCCCUCUGCUGCCAAAGCCUGGCCAUUCAAACCCAAUAACCACACCAGAUAUUAGGCCCCUGGGAUCUGCUGGUCCGUGGAUAACCAGUCCAUACCACAGCUUGAGCAAGGAAGCGAUAAAACUAAGAGCACAUUAACUAGAAAAAGCAUGAUGACAAAUCAGAGACCUAAAAGGAACAUCUGAAAUGGUACAGUCCAGGGAAAGGCUGGAGAGACUGAAGAGGUGAGCAGGUAUCCAUACUAACCAGUGAAAGGCAGCACAUUUCCAGCUGGUUCAAGGUAUCCACACGCCUCUCCAGAUUACCAGCCUGUGAGUGCUGUUGGCUUGCUCUUUCUUACAAAGUUUCUUACACAGCCUUUCUUACAAAGUUUCCCUCCCACUGUUGCGGGUGAUCAGCAUGGGGAGUUCUUUGUCAAAGAAUGUGCCCUCUGGGAAAACUCCACACUCUGGCAUUGAAGAGAAGGCUGGGCAUGACUUGGUUAUGACCAUUCAAUGUUUGUACAGAGUGCUGCCUAGAGCAUGGUGCCUGCAUGUACUGUGUGUACCAUCCAAUAUAAUUCAAAAGACUCCCAUCACAGUGAAGGUAGCAUCAGAGGGAGCUCCUUUGCUAAGCCUGACUGCAGCACAACCCAUGGAUAGAGAGCUGUUGCCUGUGUCCUGGGACCUCCUGAGCCUGUCUCCUGAGAGAUUCGUGACUGAACACAAUAUCAUUGAAUACCCAAGCCUUCUAACAUGAGAAGUGCUUGAGAGAGGUGCCAAAAACAGCAGAAAUGAAGUUAGAGUGGAUAUUUGGGAGACAGGAGUUCCCAGCUACAAGCUCCAGUUGCUGCUUUAGUAUGCCUCUAGAUGAACAGUCUCCAGACUCAAUGCCCCUGCUCAGGCUCCAGGCUGUCAGGUGAGAAAUGGCUGCCCCAGGAGUUGAGUUAUUGGGUUAGGGUUGCAUUGAUGGUAUUUUAGU